This 29684-nucleotide long non-coding RNA is filed under the name Citrus maxima (pomelo). RNAcentral's name for it is "long non-coding RNA (CMAX_LNC001774)". Lineage: Eukaryota; Viridiplantae; Streptophyta; Magnoliopsida; Sapindales; Rutaceae. The record is from RNAcentral.
GCGGACGGCGUUGACGGCAAAGAUUGUGCCAGCGAGGCCGAAGAAGAUGGAGAGGAGUGAAAAGAGGAGAAUGGGCAGGGAUAUUUUAGAUUUAAGCUUAUGGAGCUUUUGAUCUUUGGCUGAGUAGGAUGAGUUUGUGGUGGUGGAGGUGGGAAGAGCUGAGGAGUUGUGGCGAUGGGAGAAGAGUGGCAUUUCGGCGAAUUGUGAGUUGAGACAGGGAAAAUGUUGGGGAAACGUGAUUGGUGAAAGGAUCUGUCGUUGUUUCUUCUAGCUUUAUACCUCUGGUUUCGAAGUAGAGUUUCUUGGAAGUGACGCUCCUGAGUGAAUAGUGACACCGCGAGGCUGAGGCUCCCUUCCUUAAUACCAUUUUCAGUUCUCGUUGCAUUUUUUUUUAAAAGACAAUUUUUUUAAAAAUUAAAAAAUAUAUAUCAUAUUCACUAUUCAGACAGCCUCAGGUUGAUUUUGAGUAUCGGAUGUUUGACCCCUUUUUUCUAAUUAUUAAAGUAGUCUUUUUUUUCUCUAAAAUUUGAAUAUAUUAAAAUAUAUAUAUGAAUCACAUAUUUUUAACAUUUUUUAAUAUAAGUGUUAAGUUGUUUAUUUUUUUUAAAAAAUUAAAAAAUAAUUUUAUUUGGGCAUCAAAACGAAUAAAAUAUAUAUAUGUUCUUGAUCUAGCUGGAUAUAAAACCCUCUUAUAAAGAGAAAGGACAAAAACUCUAGAAAAUAAAAGUAAGAAAGUAUUUUGCCAAAGAGAGAUGACCUGCCUCCAGAGAGGUCUCCCUCCGUUAGCUUCAAGAGAGAGCGGCGUAGUAGCUUCAAGAGAGGUCUCCCUCCGUUAUUGGAAAAUGAUGUUUGCCCCGGAUCAAACCCCGAAAACUCAAAACGCACCGUUUCACUAAAGCCAAGAAACGACGCGUUUUACUUGCCUAUUUCCCCUUUACUUCUUCGUUUCCCAUCUUUCGCUUAACUCUUUCCCGUAUCCUUUUCUCUGGCUGCUUAUGAAGAAACAACAAAUUUGCUCACAUCAAGUUCAAAUCAUCAUCUUCUUCAAAGAUGCCAAGAUCCUUUGCUUCUCUUUUCUCCCGCAAGAAAUCGCAAAUACUUACCUUCAAAGAUUACUGCACAAACUGGUGCAACACUCUGCAAAAAACCCUCCUCCCUCCCUCUCAUUCAUAAAUCUAUUUCUUCAUCUUCAUAAAUCUAUUUCUGCAAAAAACCCUCCUCCCUCCCUCUCAUUCAUAAAGAUUACGCACCCACGCACUUGUGCAUGUAUAUCUGACUGAUAUGAGUAGCUGCAGAAUCUGUUUUGUUCAUCUUCAUGCUAUGCUUGUAGCAGAUAAGGUGAGGAAAUUGUGGUGGUUUAAAGUUUUGGAUUCUUAUGAUGGGUUGAUUGUACUUCCUAAUUUGUGGGCGUUUGUGAUUUGAUUCUUCAGUGGCUUACAAUUAUCAUUCAAGCUCUAUAUACUUUUCAUUCCAUUCUUUUUAUGCCAAUAAUUUAAAAAAUGCUUGCAAAGAUUCAUUUUCACUAUUGUACAGUAGCCACACAGAAUAAAGAACAAUUGAAAAAAGAAUCUGGAAUUUUCUUUCUACUUUAAUUUGGCCGCUUUUUAUGCUUGAGCUACUUCCCUUUAAUCUGUUUGUUUGCUUUUAAUCUGAAAUGAGGAGAAUGAAGACGAAGAAGCAACUUGGUUCUGUAACUUCUGUUGAUGCUUUUGCGAUUUAUCCAAAGCCAAACGUCAUCGUUUCAUAGCAAAUAAAAAAAAAAAAAUUAAUGACGAAACGGCGUCGUUUUAGCCAGUUUCGGGGUUUGACCCGGGAUUUGACCCGGGGCAAACAUCAGCGCUGUCCGUUAUUAUCCAUAGGGGUCGGCACUAACCGAUUUGGUUCAGUUUUGCCCUUGAACGCAGUCGAACUAAAACUGAUUGGUUAAUGAAUAAAUGAACCAAAUUGAGUUCGAUUCUAUAAUUCAGUUUGGUUUAAUAUUAUUUAGUUUAAGAAUUUUGAUAAUUUUUCUUUUUUUAUUAGUUAAAAUUUUGGACUUUUCACCUAAAUUUAAUUUUUUUCUUAAUUCUAUUCAAUUGUGAUCACUACAAAUUCAUGAUUUAUACAAAAAUAUUAAUGUCAAAUAAUUUUAUAAUAAAUAAAUAUUAUAUUUAUAAACGAAUAUUUUUAAAAAAAAUUUAAACAGCAAAGCAAUCGGUUCUUUGAUUUGAUUCGGUUUUGAACUAAAUUGAAUGAGAACCAAUUGAUUCUCCGAUUAAGUUCGAUUUUAAAUUGAAUCAAAUGAGAACCAAUCGGUUCUUGAGUUCCUGAACUAUUUAAUUUAUUUAUUUUUCUUAGAAAUGAAUUGAACAAAAUUGAGUAAUUUCAGUUUAGUUUGAUUCGAAAAAAACCGAACCGAAUGCCCUGCCCCCAAUUACCCUUAUCCACAGCAUAAGCUUCAUCUGAAAAACUUGAAUAUAAGAGCAUCUCCAAAGGCCUCUAUGAAUUUCACUCUUCAAAUAUCUAUUUGUUUACUUAUAUGGCAAAUAGAAAAGUGAAAAAAAUAUGAUAUUCUCUAAAAGAUUUUUUAAAUAGAAAUAAGUUAAUAUUAUUUUAAUCAAAUAAUUAUUUUUUUAAAAGAAAAGUCAAUAGCAAUUAAAUCACUUCUCCCUAUUUCUCUAGUAAAAAUAAAAUAAAAUAUAAAUUGAAGAGGGAGAAACUAACUCUCCAAAUUUAAAGAGAGAGAAUCAUCUUUUAUUUGAAAAUUUUUAAUUGAAGUGUCUUUUGAAUAUUCAAAUGUUAAUGUGGCUCUUUAAAUAAGUAAUAAAAUUUUAUUUGAAAAGUUUUUUAGUGAUACCUAAGAAACAUACACCUAUUUAAAAUAAAUAAGUAAAAGAAAACUAAGUUUGAUACACAUAAAAGUCAUUAUAAAAAAAAUAAUGUUAAAAUUGAAACUGCCUCGAGGCAUUCUCCGAUAAAGGGUAUCAUAAAUGUUAAAUUUUGGCUUAUAUCCAAUCUAAACCCCAGAUUAGCAAAAGCUGUCUUCGGAGACCAUGAUUAAUCGUCUGUCCUUUUUUUGUUUAAAAAACCUUCUGCUCUUCCAAAUUUUCUUUUUAGAUGUAACUGAAUAACUACAGCACCAGGCUUGUAGCUAUGUAUAAAUACGCGAGUAUUGUUACUUGCAUCUCAGCAAUUACAUGUGCAUUAAUUUGUCGUUUUUAAACGUUUAAUGUAUUUGUUUGGGUAGUUUAACUUGUGUCUCUCGAGAUCUCAUAAAGUGCAAAAAUAUGAGGUACCAUUUAGUAAUUUCGAUGCGGAUUUUGAUGUUGCCCCGAACCACAAAAGUAAUUUUAAGAAAAUAGUGAUUAUUAGAUGCAGUUAAUUUCCGAAGGACCGUCCAUGGAAGAAGGUAACAUGAUACAUAUGCAUAUUUCCUAAUGUAUUAGUUACGAUAUUUAUUACUUAUUAAAACUGCUUUUAAUAAUUUCUAGUCAUUUUUUUUUUAACAUCUCGUGUUCCAAAAUUUAUCGCCAGUUUUUUUAAUUUGUCUUUGUCUCUUGACUCUCUUUCUCCGUAUUUUUCAACAUUUUCUUUUCAGCGUUGUCGUUUUUAUUGUUCCAAUCAUGCUAUUCUUAUUUUCAACAUUUUUCACCGCUUUAAUGUUCUUAUUACCUUUUGACAUUUUUUUCUAAACCUUUAUUUUAAUUUUUCGGCGCACUUAUGCUGUGUUUACUUUCUCGAGUGGGAGUAAGGAGUGUGAAUUCCUCCCACUCUAAUGUUUUUAUACCCUUUUUUAAAUUAAAUUUAAUAUUUAAUAUUUAAUAAAUAAAUAAUGUUAUAUUUAUUUAAAUAAUGUUAUUAUAUUUAACUAAAUAAUAAUUUAUAUUGAUUCUAAGUUAAAAUUACUUAAAAAUAAUAUUAGUAUAUUAAUAAAUAUUACUAUAUGCUAUCUUCAUUUGAAAAUAUAAUUUUAUUAUAUUUAUUUAAAAAUAAUAGUAAUAUAUUUUUAUUUAAUAUCAAUAAUUAAUAAUAAUAGUUUAUUCUAAGAAAAUAUUAAUUUUUUUAAUAAUGUUUCAUUUUAUAUUUACCCUUCUUUUAUUAAAUUUACUAUAAAUAUAUUUAAUAAAUAUUUAAAUAAUAUUAUAUUUAUUUAAAUAAUAUUAUUAUAUUUAACUAAAUAAUAGCUUGGUUUGAUUCUAAGUUUAAAUUACUUAAAAAUAAUAAUAUUAUAUUAAUAGAGAAUUAAUAAUAUUACUAUAUACUAUCUUUAUUUGAAAAUAUAAUAUACUAUAUUUAUUUAAUUAUUAAUAAUUAAUAAUAAAAAUAAAAAUAAAUAGUUUAUUCUAAGAAAAUAUUAAUUUCAUACUAUGUUAAAAGUAAAAAUAUUUCAUUUAUAUUUCCCUUAUCAAUAAUUUUUAAUUUAUAUAAUUAAAAUUAAAAUUAAUAAAAAAUUGUGAUGUACAUAAUUAAGAAUAUUAAUAAUUAUUAUAAAUUUAAAAUAAUAAUAAAAUAAAUGUUUAUUCAUUAAAUAUAUUUUUUAUUAACUUUGUAAUUAAAAAAUAUAAUUCUUUAAAUAAGGAUAAAAUUAUAAUUUGAAACUAUUUACUCACAAUUCAAGACAAAAUAAACACAUAAAUUAGAUUUUGAUCUCCAUUCCAUGCUUUCAUUCCGGUGUAAGUAAAUAAUCUACUCUCACUCUCACUCUCACUCCACACUCCCAAUCCUAGGAUUCUUACUCUUCAGGAUUCUUUCUCCAAUCCAAAAAGUAAACCCUUCCUUAAUAACAUAAAAGUAAGUAAUCAAUAAUCGUAAAUUAGGGAUUCAUCUUCCAAAUGUAUAUGCAUGUUAUAUUGGGUAUUAGCCAAAUAUAUCUGCAUUUAGAAAAAUUCUUUGAUAUGGAUUCUUUUCACAUAUUUCAUAUUUAUUAUCGAUAGAACUAUGGACUACGCAAUAAAUGUAUGAAUUCAAAUUUCUAAUAGAGUUUAUAUUGUUAUAUACAUGUAGAGGCAAAUUUUGGACGUCCACACUAAAUUAAUUUCAUGCGAACUUGGAAGUUCACGACGUUCUAAAAAUCUGAGUUCGAUCGAACAAAAAUUCGUACAGACGUUCGUCGGAGAAAAGGACUCCACAUGUAAUUAAUAUCUAUAGCGAUGCAUACAUUGUUUCCUAUGGUUAAAUUUUAUGCUAUGAUUUCCACCGUGAGAAGAGAAUUUUAGUCCGAUAAACUUAAAGAAGAGAACGAGGAAAAAGAGGAAGAAAACAUCAGAAUCUCAAAGCUGCAACGUAAUCAAUAGAAGCUGAAUAUGAGCAUUUCUACAUACGUACAUACAGUACAUCUCAGAUAGCAAGCAAACAGUAUUAAUCCUAGUCGCUGCUAUCAUUUUAUUCAAUAUUUUAAUACAAGAGCCAUGUCACUUUAUUGGUGAUAUUAAUUAUUAUUCAUUAUAAUUUAUGUGACAUGGUUUUUCAAGGACGGUUUAGAAUUAUAUUGGCAUCACCAGGUUUUCCUCCUCGAGAGAAGGCGGCACUGGGAACGAGUUGAAGGUCCAAUUUAGAACCUGAUGGCUUUCUUCAAAGUCCCCCGUAGCUGCUGUGAAGCCAACAUAGACGGGCGUUGGAAUUAUAUCUGGCAGGUAAAUGUGUUUUUCAAUCACCUUCCGAAGUGUUUCCCCCGAAUAUGCCGCAGAAACAGAGAGUUUUCCAUAGUCUGGAUUGUAAUAAAUUCGAACCUGGAUUGCUCGUCCACUUUUGAGAUCAAUGUCAAGCAGACUAUUAACUGGAUUUGAUUCGAUUCCGUUUAUGUCGAUGCCAAUAUGGUUAUCAUCUGGAUCAUUCAGGUUCUUGUUCAUGCAUGUGUCCAGCUCCACGGCUAAUGGAGGAAAUUUUUCGUCUGCAUAAUUUACAUGCAUGAUCAUGAAUAUAUAUGUAUAAGUAUUAUAUAUAGAACAUAUGAUAUAUCAUCAUAUUGUUUAUCAUUUGACUGCCGUUAUAUAAAAAAUGCGCCCAUGCAUGCAUUUGUCAGUACUUUCAAUGUUAUCUGCAUAAAUUCUUAAUUCUUCACAUUGAUAAUCAUACCUGGUGAAGACUUCAGUCCAAGAAAUUCGCCGACGCCCUUUGCCGAUGAACCGCUUUUAUCGCUUGCAAAAAUGAACGUCAUGCCAUCUCCGGCACGAUCAGUGUAAUUCAGGUGGCGUGAGAUCUUAAUGGUGAUGGUGGUAUCAAUAAAAGAUCGCUGUAAACUCAGAGGCGUGCCGUAUAAAACCCGUCCAACCUUAUUGAGCUGCGGGUUUGGUUGAGGGCCUGGUGUGAUGUUUAAGGCGCCGGAACUUUCAAUCGCUCCGUAGCAAAUGAGGGUCUGAUUGUCACAACUGUCUUUGGCGAAUGAGAGAAAUGAGAAGCCAAUAUAUGUGUCGUCGGAAAGGAUUGAUGAAGAAGCUCCGCGAAGAAAAACUGAGAGGAGUAGUAGGAUAAUCAUUUUUUGUUCUGCGAGGGCUACUUAUUGAAUGGCGUCGCUCAGCUUCACAUGCACUUAUUAUAUAGGGGACUUAAACAUUUUUUUUAUUUUUUAUUUCUUGUGUGUCGGUGACAUUUUUUUUUAAAGGUCACUCUCCUUUGAAAACCUUGUGUAGCACAUGAAUAUAAUUGUGAGUAAAAAAUAUAUACAAAAAAAGGUGAUGUCGUUUGCAUGAAAAUUUGUAUCAUUAAAGACAAAAAAAAAAUAUUUAACAAAUAAAAUUCAUUCACUUUAUAAAUUUUUUACUUUUUAUACAAAAAUCUUCAUUUUAUUUGUCAUGUACAAUUUUUUAUGCAAAUAACAUUACUUUUUUUUUUUAUCUUAAUAUCUUUGUUCAAUUACGAAAUACAAUCUAACGUGCCCACCCACAACAAAUGUAUAGUCAUAAUGAGACUAGUGUAUGAAAUGUAAGUAAAUAUAGAUCAAUAAUCUCUUGAUAAAUUAUUUUUGUAUAAAUUGAUGUGGCACAAUUUAAUUGGUUAGAUUAAAUAUCUUUGGCCUAUAUGAUUUAACUUUAUUAUUUUGUAUUUUCAUCUAAUUAAUAAAUUUAUGUCACAUCAGUUUAUAAAAUAUUUUGUAGUCUUAUCAUCACUCGUAAAGUGUUUGUUAUGCGAUCGCGGUAAAAAAAAAAUUAAUAUGAGCCAGGAUAGUAAUAAAAAUUAAAUUGGCAUGUAUAUAUAUAUAUAUACAUAAUUUUUUUUUGGGUGAGAGAGCUUCUGCAUUUGGGAAAUUGCAAGCUCUUCGACUAGCAACUGGCUAUUAGAUAUGAAAUAAACUCUUGUGAGCUACAGAAAUAUCAUAUGAGUCUGAGACCCUUAACGAAUCAACAAUGGGUUAUGUACAUUCGUUGCGACGUAGAAAAAUUCUUGAAACUUAGUUAUUUUUUUUUUGGGUACAUAAACGUGUCUAGCCGAAAAUAACGCAAGACCGAACGAGGGUAUCACACCCCAAUACAAUCAUAUAGACUCAUUCUUGAAGCUUAAAUCUAUAUUUUUAUAUUAUAGCUUCCAUUGAACCAAGGUCUUGAUUUUCCUUAGCUUACAACUCUAAAUAAUGAAUUAGGAAAUUCUCAUUAUCUAAAUUUUUGUAAGUUUUUAUAUCUUUAUAUUAAUAGAUUUUAACAUUAAUUUCACAUAACAAUGUUAUUUUGACGAACAAAAAAAUUGAGUUACUUUCACAACAUUUCUUCCACUUCCACAUACAUGAACCGAAAUCAUAAUCCUUCAUAUAAUUAAGUCAUAUAUACUCAUUCGCGGCUCCACAAAGAGUUUUAUUUCUCUAUUAAUCUACAGAAAAACUUUGAUAAAUUAAUAGUUUUGGAAUCAUAAAAAAUCUAUUAAUUUUAGUAAGUAAUUGUAAUCGACAGAUUAAUAUCUAUGAAGGUAUUAAACAGUUGUAAGACUUUUGGUGACCGACUUCUAAACUACUUGUUAGGUUACUUAAACUUUUUACAUGUAUCAUUCUAAGUGACGAUGCAAAAAUGUUUGAAUGUUGAUAUAUAGAUAAUAGAACUAGGUUUCUAAAUAAUACAUUUAUUCAGAGUAAUCUAAAUGAAUAAAACUAAAGUUUUGAGUCCCUUUUAUAACAAGCCCAAAUAUCGUGAAUUUAUUAAAAUAAUUAAAUUUAAAAUAUAAUAUGAUAAUUAAAUUCCCCUAAUCAAAUAAGAAAUCUAAAAUAAACUAUAUCCAAAUUCGAUAUCUUAAAAAAAACAUAAAAAUCUUUAAAAAAUCAAAAAUUUUAAAAAAUCUUAAAAUUUAAAAACGAUAAAAGAAACAAAAAUUUUGGGCUCAAGUAUAGUCCAAAAUAAUAUACGCAAUUCUAAUUUUAAUUAAUCUCAUCGUAAAUUUCAAUACAAAAAAUAUUACGUCCCAAACGGACGUCCGUGGCCUAAAUUAUGCUCACCGGAAGCUAAGCAGCCGUCCUACGUUACUAAGCCAUUAGAUAAUAUCCUAUGUAAAUUUAGUGAAGGCAAAAAUGGGGGAUACGUAAUCGCUGAUGAAAGGUAGCCGUGCACCACAUUCUCUUAAUUUUAUGGGGAAAAAAAAAAGAAUAGGAGGGGUAAAAACAAAAAAGGAGUGGUUGUGUCAGUAUGUGGUCUACAUCUGGGCCCAGUUAAAAAUAUUUUACUUUUAUCAAUUUUCUUAUUUUAUUUUCCCAAACUAACUCCUGAUCUUUCCCCAGAUUGGGAGUUUGACGUCCCUCGAAUAUUUCAUUUAAAUGUCCUUUCUUAGAGUCCUAGAGUUUGAGUGAAGACAGUCUUUCUUUCAGACUGGGGGUUUGAUGUCCCUCAAAUAUUUGAGAGGAUUAAAAAUAUGAGCGGUGCCAUAUCAGUAUAAAUGUCAACAGAUCUCAGUAUAUAUAUAUAUAUGAUUGUACAUAUCAGUUAUACUCUCAUGUAAUAUGAGUUGUAAUUUGAGCAAUAGUAUCAUGUCAUAAAAAAAAAAAAAAAAAAAACUCCUGAUCUCUCCUCUCUCUUCGUACCUCACCACAGCUACAGUCUGCAAAUAUGCAAUCCUGUUUAUUUAUUUAUUUUUUAAUUUGACGUAUACGUAAAGAUUUUUACAUAAAUUUCUGUUACAUAAAGGUAUAAAAUUCAUAUUUCUUUCUCACCUUGUUCUUUCAAUAUUUUUUCCAAUAAGAACAAUUUUUUUUUUUUUUGUAAAUGAAUAUUGUUUUGAGUGAUGUAGUUCCAUUUAUAUUAUAAUAAUAAUUAACAAAAUUUUUUAUUAAUAAUUUCACUUGUAUCAAAUUUACAAUGAUAAUAUGAAUAUUAAACAAAUAAUCACUAAAUGCAUCACACAAUGGAAAUAAAAAAAGUAUAAAAAAUUUCACCAAACACAUUUUCAUUAUUUUCAUAUUGUCAGAUAAACUACCAAUUGUAUUUUUUAUUUUUUUUUUAUUUUAUAUAUUGUUUUGGAAACAAUUUAGCAAAUACCCUUUCACUUCUAAAAAUAUCACAUUAAAAAUAUCGUUUUUCUUCUCUAAAACGAUUAUAGAAAAUACUAACUAAAAAACAAAAGACCAAACACAUUGUAGACGAUACCAUGUUUAUAUGAGGGGACCUUGGCCAAGGUUGUGUGUGAGAUCCUGAGAGAUGAUAUAUGAGGGGACCUUGGCAAAAGCAAUCAAAUCAUUACAAAAUGACAAUGUCUUUACGAAGACACUAAUAUACAUGAUAAUCUCGGAUGUUUUAUGUAGUCCAUUCAUGCAAGUAGGAGUCCAUUCAUAUCCUAUCAUGAAAGUAGGUAUUUGGUUUUAUUUAGUCCAUUCAUAUCCUAUCACGAAGGUAGGAAUGACUCUAUCUCUCACAUUGUACCAUGUUUCUUCACCUUAGAAAUUGUUAGUUAUCUCAUUUGGAAUGAUGCCAAAGCAAAGGAAUAUUGUGAUUAUCUUUAGGGAUGGCAAUUGGGAGGGGAGGGGAGGGGACCAAUCUCCCCAUAUCCAUCCCCGAUAUUUUGCGUAUGUCCCCGUCCCCUCCCCAUCCCCAUUAAAAUUAUUUAAGAGAAUCAUCAUACCCUCUCCGAAUAAUAACAGGGGAUCCCCGAGGGUCACCGAUCCCCGAAUAACUAAUACAUUUUUUUUAUUUUCGAUUUUGAGUUAAUCAUAUUAAAAUAAAAGUAAAGUUUGAAAUAUAUCUUACAUUAAUAUCCAUUACAAAAGUCACAUACAUUAAAUUAGUAAGUAACGCAGCAUGCAAGGGAUACAAACUAUCAUGAACAAAUUAAUAGCCUAAUACAAAAUUGUUACAAAUAAAAUCAAAUUUAGAUUCAAAAUUAACUUUUCAAUGGUGGCGUGGGUACUUUAUAAAUGUGGAUUAUUCCCUUUACAGCACAAUAGUUAAAUCGAAGCAAAUCAAGAGCAAAUAUUAUAUUAGAUUAGAUAUUAAAAUUGUGAUUUGCUGUGGGCAAUUAUAACAUCUAAAAAUAAAUAAAUAAAUAGAUUUAAGAUAAAUAAAAAAUAGAUUUAAGUUUAAAAUAUUUAAUGAAUAUUAAAAUUAAAACAAAAGUUUUGGGCUAAUAGAAUAUGUUCGGUCUUUUUAAUGUCCUAAAUAAAAAUUUAGGACUUUAAUUAGUUAAUUAGGCCUAAAAGUUUAAUAAUAUAAAUAUUUUGAUAUUUUUUAUUUUUACCAAUACUUAUAAUUUUAUAAUUCAAAUUUUAUUAUUUAUUUACUAGUAAUUUUAAAAAAUAAAAAUUAAAUUAAAAAUUAAAAUGGGGAAAUGGGUAGGGGAUGGGGAUUACACCUCAUCCCCGUCCCCUCCCCGAAUAAGAAAUUGGGUAAAAAAAUUUCCCUGUCCCUUCCCCGAAUAAGAAAUUGGGUAUGAAAUUAUCCUCAUACCCUCCCCGAAUGGAAAAAAAUCCCCGAGAGUACCCGUCCCCGUGGAAAUUUUUGCCAUCCCUAAAAAUAAUAUAAGCAAUUCUAAUUUUAAUUAAUCUCAUUGUAAAUUUCAAUACAAAAAAUAUUACGUCCCAAACGGACGUCCGUGGCCUAAAUUAUGCUCACCGGAAGCUAAGCAGCCGUCCUACGUUACUAAAGCCAUUAGAUAAUAUCUUAUGUAAAUUUAGUAAAGGCAAAAAUGGGGGAUACAUAAUCGCUGAUGAAAGGUAGUCGUGCACCACAUUCUCUUAAUUUUAUGGGGAAAAAAAAAGAAUAGGAGCGGUAAAAACAAAAAAGGAGUGGUUGUGUCAGUAUGUGGUCUACAUCUGGGCCCAGUUAAAAAUAUUUUACUUUUAUCAAUUUUCUUAUUUUAUUUUCCCAAACUAACUCCUGAUCUUUCUCCCAGACUGGGAGUUUGACGUCCCUCGAAUAUUUCAUUUAAAUGUCCUUCCUUAGAGCCUCAGAGUUUGAGUAGAGACAGUAUUUCUCCCAGACUGGGAGUUUAACGUCCUUCGAAUAUUUGAGAGGGUUAAAAAUAUGAGCGGUGCCAUAUCAGUAUAAAUGUCAACAGAUCUCAGUGUAUAUAUAUAUAUAUAUAUAUGAUUGUACAUAUCAGUUAUACUCUCAUGUAAUAUGAGUUGUAAUUUAAACAAUAGUCUCAUGUCAUAAAAAAAAAAAAAAAAAACUCCUGAUCUCUCCUCUCUCUUCGUACCUCACCACAGCUACAGUCUGCAAAUAUGCAAUCCUGUUUAUUUAUUUAUUUUUCAAUUUGACGUAUACGUAAAGAUUUUUACAUAAAUUUCUGUUAUAUAAAGGUAUAAAAUUCAUAUUUCUUUCUCACCUUGUUCAUUCAAUAUUUUUUCCAAUAAGAACGAUUUUUUUUUUUUUUGUAAAUGAAUACUGUUUUGAGUGAUGUAGUUCCAUUUAUAUUAUAAUAAUAAUUAACAAAUUUUUUUAUUAAUAAUUUCACUUGUAUCAAAUUCACAAUGAUAAUAUGAAUAUUAAACAAAUAAUCACUAAAUGCAUCACACAAUGGAAAUAAAAAAAAGUAUAAAAAAUUUCACCAAACACAUUUUCAUUAUUUUCAUUCAUUAUUUUCAUAUUGUCAGAUAAACUACCAAUUGUAUUUUUUACUUUUUUUUUAUUUUAUAUAUUGUUUUGGAAACAAUUUAGCAAAUACCCUUUCACUUCUAAAAAUAUCACAUUAAAAAUAUCGUUUUUCUUCUCUAAAACAAUUAUAGAAAAUACUAACUAAAAAAUAAAAGACCAAACACAUUGUAGACGAUACCAUGUUUAUAUGAGGGGACCUUGGCCAAGGUUGUGUGUGAGAUCCUGAGAGAUGAUAUAUGAGGGGACCUUGGCCAAAGCAAUCAAAUCAUUACAAAAUGACAAUGUCUUUACGAAGACACUAAUAUACAUGAUAAUCUCGGAUGUUUUAUGUAGUCCAUUCAUGCAAGUAGGAGUCCAUUCAUAUCCUAUCAUGAAAGUAGGUAUUUGGUUUUAUUUAGUCCAUUCAUAUCCUAUCAUGAAGGUAGGAAUGACUCUAUCUCUCACAUAGUACCAUGUUUCUUCACCUUAGAAAUUGUUAGUUAUCUCAUUUGGAAUGAUGCCAAAGCAAAGGAAUAUUGUGAUUAUCUUUAGGGAUGGCAAUUGGGAGGGGAGGGGAGGGGACCAAUCUCCCCAUAUCCAUCCCCGAUAUUUUGCGUAUGUCCCCGUCCCCUCCCCAUCUCCAUUAAAAUUAUUUAAGAGAAUCUUCAUCCUCUCCCCGAAUAAUAACAGGGAAUCCCCGAGGGUCACCGAUCCCCGAAUAACAAAUACAUUUUUUUAUUUUCGAUUUUGAGUUAAUCAUAUUAAAAUAAAAGUAAAGUUUGAAAUAUAUCUUACAUUAAUAUCCAUUACAAAAGUCACAUACAUUAAAUUAGUAAGUAACGCAGCAUGCAAGGGAUACAAACUAUCAUGAACAAAUUAAUAGUCUAAUACAAAAUUGUUACAAAUAAAAUCAAAUUUAGAUUCAAAAUUAACUUUUCAAUGGUGGCGUGGGUACUUUAUAAAUGUGGACUAUUCCCUUUACAGCACAAUAGUUAAAUCGAAACAAAUCAAGAGCAAAUAUUAUAUUAGAUUAGAUAUUAAAAUUGUGAUUUGCUGUGGGUAAUUAUAACAUCUAAAAAUAAAUAAAUAAAUAGAUUUAAGAUAAAUAAAAAAUAGAUUUAAGUUUAAAAUAUUUAAUGAAUAUUAAAAUUAAAACAAAAGUUUUGGGCUAAUAGAAUAUGUCCGGUCUUUUUAAUGUCCUAAAUAAAAAUUUAGGACUUUAAUUAGUUAAUUAGGCCUAAAAGUUUAAUAAUAUAAAUAUUUUGAUAUUUUUUAUUUUUACCAAUACUUAUAAUUUUAUAAUUCAAAUUUUAUUAUUUAUUUACUAGUAAUUUUAAAAAAUAAAAAUUAAAUUAAAAAUUAAAAUGGGGAAAUGGGUAGGGGAUGGAGAUUCCACCUCAUCCCCGUCCCCUCCCCGAAUAAGAAAUUGGGUAAAAAAAUUUUCAUGUCCCUUCCCCGAAUAAGAAAUUGGGUAUGAAAUUAACCGCAUACCCUCCCCGAAUGGGAAAAAUCCCCGAGGGUAUCCGUCUCUGUGGGGAUUUUUGUCAUCCCUAAUUAUCUUAUGGGUUUAACUACGAUGGAAUUGUUCUAAAGUAGGACACUUCUUUAUAACCACACAAUUAAAAUUAUAAUGAGUUUUUUAUUAUUUAUUACUUUACGUCUAUGAUGAGAUUCGUACUCCACCAUAAAUCUAUUCCAACAUAGCCAUAUCCUUAUUUUAAAUAUUUUAUUUUUUGAGGCUACUAGAUUUCAGUUUCACAUAUUCAUAGGAUAAUUUAAUUUUGUGGACCGUAUGAACUAUAAUUUAUAAAGUGAAGAUCAGCAACCUCGUGAGCGAAUUGUCUCUUUAUUACAUAUCAAUUCAACUGUGUAAUGGAGAUUUAGGAACCAGCUACUUUAUCACAGUAAUAAGCAACCCCUUAUUUGGUCUUGUACAAAAGCUACUCUUGUAAUACAGUGGCUAUAAUAGAAUACGUCAAAUAAAACAGGUCAAGUGUUCCUGGUGUCAAUAGUUUUCCUUCUUUUUGGAUCAACAUCUUCUCUUAGGCAUUUUCUCUCCUAUUCCUUCUAUACUUAUAAAAAUCUAUUAACAUGUAUUACUAGUAAAAUUAAACACACGUGAGUUUAAAUGUUUAUUUAAACAAAAAUUAAUUAGAAUAAAAUCUUGAACCAUUUAAUUUUAUUAAUGACGCAUGUCAAUGGAUCUUUAAAAAUGUCAGAGAACUAAGAAAAAAAUAUCUAGAAAAGAUCCAGAUUAUUAAAUAAUUUCACAGCUUUGCCACUGUGUACACUGUACACCAAAGUUUUGUUAAAAUAACAAAUGCAUCCCACCCGUUUAGGAAAGGACUUUUCAGGAUUACGCAUUCAAAAAUUUAAAAAAAAAAACUUAAUAACAAAAAAAUGAAAGCGGAGCCCUCUUGCACCUCAUCAUCUAGAGAUGGUAAAAAAAAUCAGGCCUAGCCUAGUUCGUGCAAGACCUAUCUAGAUUCGCGGGAUUUAAGUCCGGCCUGCAAUGAAUGAGUCUAAUUAUGGGCUGAAACAGUAGAUGAGCUUGGAUAUGAGUUAGUGGAAAAAACUUGCACUUUAUAUUUUAAAUUUUAUAUAUUUUAUAUUUUAUGUAUUUAAUUAUUAGUCUAUUAUAUAUUGUAUAAUCAAUAAAUCAUUUUUAAUUUAAGCGUUUUUUUAUUUUUUCCUAUUUUAAACUCUAUUACAAAUUCAUUUUAAAUUUUUUAUCUAAGCCUAGGCCCGGUCCAAACUAACUCCAAAUACAUAGGCUUUUGGCCUAAGCCUGACUCGUCUAAGAAUGGACAAACUUUUGGAAAGCUUUGGACCUGCUGUCAAUAACUUAGGGCUAGACCUGAGCUUGAAAAAACCUGACUCAAGCCCUUAAAUUGUCAUCGCUAUCAUCAUCUUCCUUGAACCGGUCAGCAUCAUCAUUCUCCAAUUGAUGUUUUUCCUUUUUCUUUUUCUUUUUCUUUCAUAACUCCAAUUCUCUAUAAUUAUAUUAACUAUGAAAAUUGGAACCCUACAGGGCCACACCAAACUUUUGAAGCAAACGGCAAUUGAAAUUAUAAUUAAUGCAAAAUCCCACAUCCAAUCCCCUUUAUUUCCAACCUUCAAAUUCAAAGUCUCUCAAUCCUCCACUGCAAUGAACAUGGCGACAUUCAUGUCUAAUCGAAUAUAAAUUCAUUUCAUUGUCAAACUACCCCACAAACAAACCCAAAACCGAACCGAGGUUCACAAGAGUCCGUAUGUCUGUACCAAGAAUAAACAAUUCGAUUGAGUUACUGUAUAUUUGCAAAAAUUUCGAUCACAUUUGUUACCAAAUCAUCAACUUAAAGGAAAAGAAUUUGAACCCAGAUGAAUUUUUUUUUCUCAUCUUGUUUAACAAGCACCUAGCUAAGAACGAUGUUUUGGGAAUUUGAGGGAAUAUAAAUUCAAACUAAAAUUCGUGAAAUUGGGUUUGAGGGAACUUUAAAGUGAAAUGAGGGAUUGAAGUAGUCAAAUUCAAAAACAUAGUUUAUGGUAAGUGGGAGCCAGAAACAUAAUUUUUUAGUUCAGCCUGAACAAAAUAAACAAUUUUUUAGCACGUUAAAUGGAGAUUACUGGAUCAAAAAAGAAAGGAUUCAGAUCCUUUUUUAGGCUCUCUCUUCUAAUCCUCCUAUACUUUCAAGGAAUUGUUAUUAAUGAAAUUAAACUGCUGAGAUUUUAUUUUAAUUAAUUUUUAUUUAUUGAGAAAUUCAAACUCACGUGAUUGUUGUUAAAUUCUUUCCCAGAAUUUUUUUUUCCCUCUCAUCUCUUUCUAUAAUGACGCCCAUCUCUAGAAAACUGUAAAAAAAAAAAAAGCACACAUUGGAGAAAAGAAAUUGACAAUAAGGUUUGCAUCUUACCUUCAAUUUGUUCAUUUAUUUAUUUUUUCUUGAUGUUUGGCUUCUUUAUGGAUCCAUAUUUCUACAAUUAAUUAAAACAAUUGUCUUCUUUAUUUAUCUUAUGUAUCGUUACAGACUUAUUAUUAUGGCUUUAGAAUGCUUGACUGAUUUGGAUGGAAAGUGUAAGUUUGAAAUGGAAUUUGAAUAUGAGCAAUUAACAUAUGAUUUCUACAAUAAGUAUGCAUUGAAAAUGGAAUUUAGUAUUAGUAAAGAGACAUUUUCUAAUAAUAAGAAAACAGGUAAAAUGACCUCGAGGAUAUUUGCUUGUUCUAAGGAGGGAUUUCGUAAAAAGGAUAAGAGAGAUUAUUAAUAGAUUUUUAAUUUAUAUAUUAAUUACUGUUUGCGGCUGAUUUUGGGUCAAUGAAUAAAAAACCACAAAAUCAAACCAAGAACAAUAAAUUUAUAUUUUGUUAGUGAGCGGGGUGCCUCGCUUGUUCGUCACAUGCGAGCUGUUUAGGUUUUUUGUGGAGUGGAGAAGGAUUGAGAUGGUGGUGGAUAUGGAGGGGGUCUGACUUCAGGUGCGGAGGGUUGGUGAAACUUGCUUUAAACCUACGAAACAACAAAAAAAUAGGUCAGAGGUGGAGCCAGGGGUGGCCGGCGACCACACUCCGACACUCAAGUCAGAGUUGGGUUAUCUUAGGUUAGAGAGCUUGCAAGCUCUCAGUAAUGGAGGUUUUGAGGUUGAAGAAACCUUAGUUUUUGGUGAUGUGUGUGUCAACUUACUUGAUAAAAAUUAAACCUGAGUAUUUAUAUGGUGUACCCUGGUCGCUGUGCCACCUGGCGCUAUUUUAGUGGCGUUCCCUGCUGUUAUGUCAGGAAUAUUCUUAUUUUUAUGCGUAUGGCGGCUUAGGCAUUUCACAAAUAUGCGUGGAGGGCAAGUUUGUGGCGUAUUCACGUGCUGGGCGUAGUGGAGUGGUCCCGUGUACCUCUGCAAUUUCGUUGUAAUUUUGCAGGCGUAGUAGGAAAAGCCGGUGGUCCCAACUGUCAUAAUAUUAAACUUUUGGCGAAUUCGCUGGCGAUUUGUAGCACGAGAUUUCCUCACCGAUUUCUUAUUUUUUGACACGUAUUCAACCGAUCUUUUUGAGAUUUGUGGCUCACCUAUCUCUUGACAUUUGACGAACAUUUUUCCUAACCUUCUUGCCCUUGCUCAGUGUGUCCCAGGUACCAAGUUUUGUGGGGUAGGUUGGGUACCCCGGGUGUCGAACUAAUGGUGUAGGUCGGGUACCUCGGGUACCGAGUUUAUAGUGUAGGUCGAGUAUCUCGGGUACCGAGUUUAUUGUGUAGGCUGGGUGUUGAGUGUUAGAAAAUGCAUAUUUAUAAAGGAGAAAACCAUCAUUUUACAUUUCAAGUCUUACUAACAACUCUUACUUUUAUGUAUUUAACCUUCUUGUGAUGUAAUUACGUGUGUGUUAUUUUAAUUAAGUAUUUUAUGUAUUUUAGGGGCAUUAUAGUCAUUUCACAAUAAAAGAGAGAUCAGACGGCAAAACGGACAUCACUUUUGAACUCAGGACAGUCGAAAACCUUAGGAGGAGCAUAAAAGGAAAAAUGGUACUAUUCACAUGUACGGUACUAUUCACGUAUACGGUACUGUAUAUGUUACUGUUCACGGCACUGUUCACAUAGACGGAUCGAUGAUGUAGCAUUGACCGAUGAUGUGGCAUUGACUGAUGAGGUGUCACGAUCCUAUUGGACUAAAAUUCUUAUGUACUGUUGAUGGUGACGUGGCAGCAUAUCAGUGGACGAAAAAUCUCGCGUACGGUGCAUGCAUCACACAGGAUUAUUUUCAACCAAACCGUGUUACUGUUCAUCCGGGUCAAACCGUGUUACUGUUCAUCCACGUGGUCACUGUUGACUGAUGACGUGGCGCAAUCCUGAGCGUCCAAAUUGUUUUUAAUCCGAUGGCCAUGAUUUACUCCAUAUAUUUAUAAAAAGGGGGCCUCUCCCCCCUAAUUUGAUAUCUCUGAAUCCAUUUUUGGGAUCCAUUUUCUGUAAUUCCUUCUCCAUCUUGUAUUUUCUUUGUAUUUUAAUAAAUUUCCAUUUUGCCCCUAGUUCAAUUAUGAGUAGCUAAUUUCCUUUCAAGCUUGGGUUGAAGGUGAAGUCUCAACAUGUGUCAUGGGCUUUAUUUGGUAAAUUUAUUUUCUUUUCCCCUCUAGUUUUUGUGGAUGAUUUGAUUUAUCGUCGACAAAUAAUACUGAUCUUGUCUAGAUACCGCCUUGGUUACACCGGCUCUCUAGUAUAAGGUUAUUAUUAUUUGGCACGAUAAGCCCUUAGCACUAUAUUGAUUAGAGCGUAGUUCAUGAGGUGUGGAUUCCCCCCUCAUGAUUUAAUUGGUAUUAAUAAGGAAUAUUUAGCUCAUGAUGCAUGUUGAUACGGAUCCAGAUACCCAAGUACGUCAUUUCAAUAUAAUUCUCUUCAAUUUAUUCUCGCCAUUUCAAUUCCAAUUUUAGAAUUUAUUCUCGCCAUUUUAAUUUAAGUUUUAGCAUAUUCCAAAUCAUUUCCACCACAAAUCUAAUCCCCCAUUUACAAAAUUAAUUCUACACACAAUUAAAAUCCACCUCCUCGUGGGAUCGACACUCAUCACCAUUGAUAUAUACUACAAUAGAUUCGUGCACUUGCGAGUACAUUAAAAUUUGCACAACACUGGGUAUCUUGGGUACCGAGCUAAUGAUGUCGGUCGAGUACCUCGAGUACCGAGUUUAUAAUGUAGGCCAGGUAUCUCGGGCACUGAGUUUAUAGUGUAGGUCGAGUACCUCGGGUAUCGAGUUUAUAGUGUAGGUCGGGUAUCUUGGGUACCAAGUUUAUAGUGUAGGACGGAUAUUUCAAGUACCGAGUUUAUAGUGUAGGUCGGGUAUCUCGAGUAUCCCUAGUACCGAAUUUUAUGGGGUAGGUUGGGUACCCCGGAGGAUAACUAAUAAUUACAUAACCUUUGCAUCGACACGUGGCGCUUCAUUUUCAAUACUCUAUUUAUCCCCAAACAAUUACUAUCACCUUUAUUUAAUAGAUUUUAUAUUAUCCAACAUUAUUAAUUUAUUGAAGUGAUUCUAUAAUCCAAAUCCAAUGAGAAAUUAGAGUCCACCCAAACCAGCAUCAUUAGUUACAAUUUUAUGCACCACUUAUCAGACCAUUUUUUUUUAAAUAAUUAACAUUCAUUCAUCGAAAAAAAAAAAACAUUUACAUAGAUUGUCUGGAUUUUUAUAUAACAACUGAUGCUAUAAAAUUGGAGAGGCUGGAAAAGUAUAAGAAAGUCAUAUUGCCGAAACUGAAGGGGGCUUGAGAUAAGUUCCAUACCUUUAUAGCAUGCUUACAAAAAACCAAGGCAUGCAAAGUGUCGCCAUACUCGAAGCCGCAAUAGAAACAAGCUGUAUUUAACAAAUUAAAGGCGUGUUUGAUGUUGUUUUUCAAUUCGCAUUUUCUUGAAACAAAAAAUGAAGUAAAAAGCAUUACGAAGGUCCAAACGCCUAAUGAUGCUUCUUCUUCAACUCCAAUAGCAAACCAACCAAUUCGGGCAACAGCAGUGUCAAUAGAACUUGAAUCCCAACUGUCGCCAGAAAAAUGAAAUUUCUUUCUCGCUCGUUUUCCUAACUCUUCAAUUCAAUCAUUUCUCUCCAAUUGGUGGCUAAAACAAGAACCAAAAACUAGAACGCAACGUAUUUCUUCCACAAUCAUUUUUACAAUGAAAAGUGUUUUCGAUAGAUUUUGGGGUAGGAAAAGCCAAACCAAUCUAGAACAAUGAAUUUGUAUUUUUGGUGGAGACGGGGUACCUCACUGGUUUGUUGUGUGCGGUGUGGUGUAUCUGAAAUCCGGGGCAGGUGAGAAGGGGAGAGGGAGUGGUAACCAUGGUGAAAGGUCAGAACUAAGAGAGAUGUCCUUCAAAAUGAACUUCACGCCUGUAAAACAGUGAAUCACUGGUUUGUUGUGUGCGGUGUGGUGUAUCUGAAAUCCGGGGGAGGUGAGAAGGGGAGAGGGAGUGGUAACCACGGUGAAAGGUCAUAACCAAGAGAGAUGUCCUUCAAAAUGAACUUCACGCCUGUAAAACAGUGAAUCACUGGUUUGUUGUGUGCGGUGUGGUGUAUCUGAAAUCCGGGGGAGGUGAGAAGGGGAGAGGGAGUGGUAACCACGGUGAAAGGUCAGAACCAAGAGAGAUGUCAUUCAAAAUGAACUUCACGCCUGUAAAACAGUGAAAUAGAGGUUAGAGGUGAAGCCGAGGUACCCCGACAUUCACACUCCGACGCUCAAGUUAGCAAACUCAAGCUUUUAUAGCGAAGAGAGCUGGCUAGCCCUCUGUAAAUUAAGGUUUAAGGUUGAAGAUAACCUAUUUUUUGGUGUGUGAGUGUUAAUGGUGAAUGAGAGCCUCCUUUAGAAUAAAACUUAUGCACAUUUAUAUAUGGAGUACCUCAGCUGCUGCGUGGCGUACCCCUUUCGGCUAAUGUCUUUUUUUACCUUUUAUGAUUUUGGGGCCAUUAUGUGCAUGUUCGCGGCGUAUCUCAUCCUUUGGAGACGUGGCGCACGCUGGAGAGUGGUCUAGGGUACCUUUGCAGUUGCUGUCGGGUAGGCGGUUGAGAACCACUGUCCUUAGGACAGUGUCCUUCACUUUUGGCAGAGGUAGCAUGUGGCUGUCCCCCCCCUUUUGGUACGACGUUCUUGAUUCCUAAUUCUGAUAAAAUCGAAUAAUAUAUUUUAAGAGAUGGAGACGUUUCUCAUGGCGGAUAUUUUCAGAGGAUUCUCUUGCAUCCGAUUUGCAGGGUACCUUGAGUUACGCGGGGUACCUCUAAUUGUGCGGGGUACCUUGAAUUAUGCUAGGUACCUCAGAUUGUACGGGGUACCUUGAAUCAUGCCGGGUACCUCGGAUUGUGUAGCAUACCUUCAAUUAUGCGGGGUACCUUCAAUUAGGCGAGGUACCUCAGAUUACGCGGGGUACCUCAGAUUGUGUGGGGUAUCUUGUAUUACGCCAAGUACUUUAGAUUGUACUGGAGUCAUUCUAUUUGUCGACACGUGGCGCUUUACUGUAUUUCCUAUUUUUUCCUCAAACAACAUCCCCCUAGUUUCUUUUUGGCGAGAAGUAUUGGAGGCAAAAGAAACUUACAUAAAAAGUAGGAGCGACACGUGGCGAUAUGAUGUUUAGCUCGAUGGGUAACUGAAUAGAGGACGCCUCUAGGGGUACCCUGAGAACCCAAAAAAGAAAGAUGGGCUCCCUUUCCUCGGAAAUGGCUACCAAUUUGGACAUGUUGGAAAGGAUGAAGUUGAUUGAUCAAAAUUUUUUCGUCUAUUUCUGAGGAAGAACACCAAAUACGGGCAGAGGGUACCGUUAGGGUACCCCACUAUUAUCCAUAGUUUGUUUUCUAGUGACUGCCAUGUAUAAAUCGCUCUGGUGAAGGCUUCAAUGCAUUCUUUAGGCAUUUAAGAAGCAAUUAUUUGAUUAUCCCAAGAUCCACCUUAUUUAAGGGUACCUUUCCUUAAUGUGCUUCGAAGACAAAAAUAAAAUCACAGGGCUUCCUUCCUUGCAACUUCAGAGGUACCAUCGACAGAAGAACAUAGUCGACAAUGCUUUUAAGCGCAUCAUGAUCGAGGAAUAGAGUGCUGAUCUGGGGUUGGUGGUGCCAAGAGUGAAGAAUAGGAUAGAUGAACCGGCUAUCUUGAAGGUGAUUGAAGAUAGCGGGGCUCCCAACACAUCUUGGUCUGAAAGCCCAUUGAGAUCAGUUGGGGUACCUCAGAUGAGGUAUCUAUAAGGUACCUCUGAUACUGACCCUUGUGUUUUUGCUACUUUUAGCACUUUUGUUGAUCCCCUCAUCCUAAGGGAUGAAGCUGAAGAUAACCAUCCUGCUGUGUAACCUUGUUCAGCAUUACUGACAAGGUGUAUGGGGUACCUCGGGUACCUUAAUGCUUGGAUAUCCCUUAAGCUAUCUGUUACUUUAUGGCGGAAUAACCCAAUUUCAUCAAACAUAUGGCGAUUCCUCCAGAUAUAGAGACGUUUCUCAUGGCGGAUAUUUUCAGAGGAUUCUCUUACAUCCGAUCUGCCGGGUACCUCGAGUUACGCGGGGUACCUCAAUUUAUGUGGGGUACCUCUAAUUGUGCGGAGUACCUCUAUUUGUGUGGGGUAACUCUAGUUGUGCGGGGUACCUCAGAUUGCACGGGGUACCUUGAAUCAUGCCGGGUACCUCGGAUUGUGCGGGAUACCUUCAAUUAUGCGGGGUACCUCUAAUUGCGCGGGGUACCUCCAAUUAGGCGGGGUACCUCUAUUUGUGUGGGGUACCUCAGAUUACGCGGGGUACCUCAGAUUGUGUGGGGUACCUCGGAUUGUGCGGAGUACCUCAGAUUGUGCUGGAGUCAUUCUAUUUGUCGACACGUGGCGUUUUACUGUCUUUCCUAUUUUUCCCUCAAACAAAAAGUAUACUUCAUUCAAGCACAAACAUUUCAAAUUCACUAGUUAUAAUCAUCAAUAAAUUUUGUAGGUGUCAUAUUCUAAAAGGUACCUAAUCAUGUUUCGUGUCUAUCCUAUCAGACAGUAGAAGUUAUUCCGGUGAAAUAUCACCUAAGUUAUUUCAAGAGAAUAACAUCUAAGAAAAAAUUUCUCCCGAAGCUUAUAAAAAUGGCAAGAGGGGGAAUUAGUUCUGCAAUCCAUUACUUUAAGGAAGUCACGCUCAAAGGCCAUACAAGUAAGGAAACACAUAGGGGAGGAAUAAUUCUUUAAAUCAAAUUUACCUCCACAUGUGCAGAAAUGAUGGGUGACACAUGUUUUUAGAUUAAGGGUUCAAAGCAAAACUCUAAAUCUACAUCACUCAUAAUUUAUAACUAGAGACUCAACUCUAAGAGAAAAGAGAUCUUGAGCCUCCAAAAGCAUUGUUCAUACUUAGAGAGUGAAAAUCAUUUUCUCCAUCUUUCUUCUUUCUUUAAUCUUAAUUAAACACUAACUUGAGUAUCGGAAUGUCUUUUUCAAGUACUCACCGUUCCAGAUUCGAGGCCAACAAUCGCGACAAGUUCUCUGCAAACUACAAAUACACGUGAAGAUAAAAAAAAAAAUCCAAUACCUUCAAUUUUCAAUUCUAUUGCCACUGAUAAUAUAUCUACUCCGAUGAUUAUGCAGUCUAUUUAUUAUGCUUUGAGUAAUGCGUCAAAUAUUGUUUCUUAAUUUAUUUCAUAAUUUGUUUUGAAGAACAGCGAAAAUGUGUAUGCCAAAGUGUUUUGCUUGUUAUUACUAUCAACUGGAGUUUGUUUUGCGUGUUUUUAUUAUUAUUUUUUUUAGAAUUUAUUCCACCGAACAUGCACUUAAAUUAUAAAAGUAAAAAAAAAAAAAAAAAGGAACCAUGCAUCAAUACCGAACGGGCCCUAGUGUAUAUGAACAACUUUACUUCGAAUUGAUCAAUUUCGGCGCAAUAAGCAAGGCAUUGAAAAUGAAGCGAAUAAAUGAAAAAUUAAAAUUAAAAAAAUUGGUUCUCAUUUGGUUGUCCUUUUUUUUUUUUUCGUAUAAAUGCCACCAACCAUCUUACGGAUUGUUUGAUGUUCACAAUUUUUUUGCAAUAUUUCUUCCACAAUAGCACAAAAUGUUACAAGACAACCCCAACCCUGGACACAAAUAAUAUCGCUUGGUUCUUGCGCCACGGGACUUGGUGAACCACGUGCAAAUCACAUGCCAAGCAACGAAUUUUCUGUUUGUGAAUUGUGUAGUAAUUGUACUCAAAUUGCACAUACUACGCAUAUGAAAGUAACCUCUUCUUAGUUCUAACCCAGAAUAGCAGAGCUUAACUUAUUUUUCACCAACAAAAUGUGUAUCUUCCUACUGCUUUCGCAGAUGAACAAAAAGCUGUGAGAAUGUGGAUGUUUUGCUUCUUGCUAGUCCACCUCCACUUGGUAAGAGAAGUAAAGCUGCUUUCAUUAACAUGACUUUAUAUAUAGAUAUUUGAUUCACUAAAGAACUUUUUAACUUUAAUACUUUGCUCAUCAGCAACAAUCUGUAUUAAGAGAGUAAAUUUUCAUACCUAAUUAUACAAUUAUCAUAAUCUAAGGAUACAAUUUCUUGCUUCUCUCCUUGCACCUAUGCUCCCCUACUAAAGCAAUUUUAUGAAAGAAUUGAACAAAUUUCUCUUCAUGUUGCUCUGAAAACUACAGAAAAAAAUUAGAGGUGGGGGGAGGAGAUGAAUAACCAAAAGACAAUAGUCUAAUAGUUUGUCAAGCCCAGAUUGCAAGCAAAGACAUCAAUCCAGCUCCAAGAAACAGCAUCAAAUAAGACACUACUUGAAGCCUACAAUUGCAGCUCAUCCUUUUACUGAGAAAAUCUGCCGCAAUUAGAUCCACUAAAGCCAUGUACACCAGAAUGCCGGCUGACAUUGAAUCUAAGAUUCCUUCAACAAUCAGAGCACCUGGACUGUUUGGGUUGUAAACUGAAGCAACUGCAGUACCGAUGCUGAUCCCUACUGGAGUUGUUAAGGCGAAAAAAACAUGCCAUUAACGUGGCUGAUUGGGUAUUGAAUUGAGCUUGCCAGAUGCAACCUCCAAGCGCAAAUCCUUCAAAGAAUUGAUGGAAGGAUAACGCUGCUAUCAAGGGUCUUAUUGUACAUGGACUAUGUGAAACUCCAAGCGAUAUCCCAAUGAUAAUCAAGUGUGAAACAAUUCCAAGUUCCAAAACCUGCAAACAUAACAACAGAUUUCCAAUUAGGACAAAUUCCAUCUCAUUUUCAACCAAAUUUAAGUCACGAGCAUCUCACAUUUUCGCUGCUCACUUUCUUAGCAAUAGAAUUUCAAACAAAAGCAAACACUUAAUGCUAAUGGGAAACAAAUAUCAAUUAGUUGUAUAUACCCGGUAUAAUUGAACAAAACUUUACCAUCAUUUUAUGAAUGAAAUUUCACUUGAAUAAAAUUGUAAAAAAUUUACUUGCCAAGUCUAGUAUUAUUGUUUCCACAAAUCACAGCCAAACUACCACAGCAAAGUCAUGGAGACAUGGACUGACCGGCCCCACCCAUAGCACUUCAAUAUCUAACGAGAAAAGAAAAGAUAGACAAAUAAAAAGAUAAUAGGUCUCCCUUCGUACCUACGUGUCAUAUUCAGACUCUUUGUAUAGUUACAGACUCCAAAGCAACACAAUUCGACGCUAUAAGCAAAGAGUUAAAAUGCAUCAAGACAAACAAAAGUUAAAAUUGUGGAAAACAAAGUACGUCUAAAGUACUUGGGAAACGACGACGUGCCAAACCCCACUUUCCUCAUCCCCAUCACUAAACUCAUGAGAAUGCCCAAGCCCCUGUCCGUGUCCAUGGCCAGCCUCCUUCACGUGCCCCUCAAAAUAUUAAUACCAUUAGAAUAUUUAAUAAAAUCUGAGUACAAUUACUAUUUCACUCUUGAAUUCAAGGGAUUUUUAUUUUGCAUCAUAAAUAAUAAAAUCAAAUAAAAAGAAUAAUAAAAAGUAAAACUAUCAAAACCCAACAAACUUUUUUGUUUCAAAACAAAAUCGACCAAUGAUUUUGGUAGACGAUUGAUACAAAUUGCAAGCUUAGAGUAGAAAAUUGAAUACAUUCAAAAUUUGAUGUUAUUUUUGCUAACAUGGUAAACUUAAAGUGAGUGACUGAUAGUUUUCCAACAUCUAGCAUCAAUGGUGCAUCCAGAGAAAUAAUUUACAGGGAGCUAUAUUAGAUAAUAGUAAAAUGUAAAAACUAAAACCUUGAAUAUCUAAAAAACUUGCUAAUACAUUUAUAAUUGUUCUCAAUGCGUUUUUACAUUUUGAAAAUGUUAUGCAAUAGACUCAUUAUCAAUACUAUUAAAUUUAUUAUAUAUCAGACUACUACAAAUGAGCAGUAACCCCUAUAAACCUCUCCAAAUGCAUUUUCUGUACACUUACAUUGGCCAGCGUCAGCAGUACCUUCUGCAAAUGCGUUGAUAGCUUCUGUACCAUAAAAAUGUAAUCUGACACUAUUCAAGCAAGAGUCAUUCUUUAAGAUAGCAGCAGGUGCAGCAGUUAAGUAUUGGAAUGGAAUGCUUUUAGUGGAGGACAUUGCUUCUACAACAAGCAUCAAGUAAGGCAGAAAAAUCAACAGGGACCAUUCUGGAUGUAGCCUUAAGAAAUUCAUCUCAUCUGGCCUAGCAAGUGGCGUGCAAGGUUUCAGUUAAAAAAUUAUCUAUCAUCUGGUGGCAAUGUAGGACUCUUGGAACACAUACUGAUGUUGUGAAGCUCCUUCAUUCUGAAGGCUGGAUUGCAUAAACCUGAAAUAUAAUGAUACUUCAGUCAUUAGGGAGGAUUCAAAAGUUAACUUUGCAGAAUAAUUAAAUUCCUGUACACUCUCUUCUUAAACUCUUAAUUAACAAAUUUUAAAUCCAAUUCAGUCAUCAUAGAGGAUUCAGAAGGAUCAAAGAAGGUUCUAGGCUUGUGGCCUUCGUCGGUGCAUGUGUGGAGGCUGUGCCACCAGAAAUUGGGCUUGAGAAGUUUUGAUUAAAGCAAGAAAGUAACUCUUUUACUAUUCCCCGUAGCAUUGCUUACUCAGAAAGAUCUUUCAAUGGAAGCAAGGUUAAUCAGCAGAAGCACUAUGAGCAACAAUGAAUGUUUUGGAGAUGAGAGAGAGAAAAAAUAAAGUGGCAGAGGACUUGCAAUUAAGAUGAAUAUGCAAGAUUUCAGGGAUCAUCACUGUAGCAUAAUGCAUUGUCCGGUGUGCUUCAAACUCCUUCUAAACCAUCAGCUAAAAACGUAAUAUAAUAGAAAAUGUGAAAAUAUGCAUAAUCACCAGGCAUCAAAUCUGUUUUUAGGCCCCAUGAAUCUCAAGCUCCUCUAAUCCAUCAACUUAAAAAGAAAGAUAAAAAUAAUGAAGAAGGAACAGCUUACCGAAAAAGCUAUCCCGGCUAUACGAGAUAAAAAUGCCAGACAAAAGUUGUUAAAAAGUAAACGAAAUCUCUUAUUGCUGAAGAUGUGUUUCAUUGUAUUCCAGCCCACAACAAAUGUUUGGGAAUCUUGCAGCAAAGUUGUCAUCAGCAUCUGAAGAUUCGAUGUCCAGUAGUGGACCCAGCAACUGACCAUUAAAAAGUUUAGACAACAUAUGCAGCAUAUUGAUGGGUCCACAUGUCCCCAUGUCCCCAGCAUUCUAAGGCACUUGGAUUAUUGGAUGCUAGAUUUCAAGAGCCAGGGCUGUGGCUCCAUACAGCGGGGUCAAGAUUUUGGUGGAAUUGAACAACAAUCAAUCAUGGAGAAGCGCUCCCCAUGGAUGCAAGCAACCUUUCUAGCAUCUAGAGGAUCCCUCGCUCUACCGAAUGGGCUCCUUCCUCAUAAUCAUCAUCCUUACUAUAAUGGCAGUCAAAUAAGGAGAAAGAUCUAAAUAGGAUAGAGGGUCUUGUACAGAGAGUGUUAUAGGUAGUGUGGUUGUCGACCUUGAUAUCCUUGGGACAGCCAUCCUACCUCAUCAAACUCCUAAGGUACGUGUAAAAUUUAUAACAUUAUCAUGACUUGUUAUGCGCUAAAAUCCUGUAUUCAAUGGGUUCAGAUUUCCUUUUCCUCUUGCUAAUAUCUGUAAUUAACUCUGCUAAAAAAUUUGAUAAUUGUGCAUUUCCCCUCAAGCUCAACCUUACUUCGCACCAUCUCAUCAACUCAAUGUAAUACAAAAUCAUCACAAACCUACAGAACCCUAACAAUUGGCGGUCCAUCAAUCUCACUACUUUUCAGAGGAACCUUCAUAUUUCAUGUGUAACGAAUACAUGAUCAUCAGAACUUAAACAGAAAGCGGGAUUUUCAAAUCUUAAUUUUUUAUGUAUCAAAAUCACAUAUCAAGAUAGUUCUUUGAGAAAGUAAGAAAUACAAUUACAGCAGAGCAUGUGAUAAUAAGAAACAUAGUUACCGCAGGGCAAGUUACAAAAAUUGUGUUACCUGAGCACUUUGGAAUAUCCCACACCGCUAUAGAUGUGGAAGUACAUCUAGGAUCACAUAUUGCUCUGUUAUCUUCGUGGUGGACGUUCAUAGCAAGCAUCCAUGACCCGAUAGUUACAUCCUCAUUGCUGAACAUUCUCAAACUGAAAAGCAGAACAUAUCUAUUAACAAAAGCAUAGAAGGAAGAAAGAUUACAAAAUAAAACUGAAAGAGAACAGACAAGGCAUUGUUACAUAAAUAGCAGAGCAAGUCAAAUUAACAUUUUCAAGGGGAAAAAAUCUCAAAAUGUAUGCAAUGAGAACUUUUGAUCCCAGCAUCAUAAACAGGGAAAAAAUAUAAAAUAAAUUUCAUCUGGACACAUGAAAUUUUAACUUUUCGUUGGUUCUAAUGGAUAUUUUCAGUCAUUUUUCAGUACAAUCUUAAACUAAUAGGUAAAAGAAGAUAAGCAAAUGUGAAUGUAUGAAGACCAAUGAAAACUUUAUCCAAAUGCACCUGUUAUUUCUUGCAGCAGCUAGUGAAGCCACCACAUUUGCAGACAGAACAUAUAUAGGACCAUAAGCAUGCAAGAAGUAUUCAUUUCCAAUAAGGUGCCCUGAUUUUUCAUACCUGAAAUUUUCAAAAUUAUAAAUCAACUAAUAAAAUAAUUUUACAAAAUAAAGAAACAUGUGAAAAAAUAUGAGAUAUCUGAAAGAUAACAGUUUUAAUAAGCAAAACCCAUAUACCACUUCAUUUUAGGGUCAGUGAUCACAGGUCCUUUCUUCAUACAACCAAUGUAAGUCAGCGGAUUGCUACGUUCCUUGGCAAGAAGAGUUGCAAGACGAUCUGAAGAAGUUGAAAGAAAAUAAAUUUAUAAUGUCACAACGCAUUUUUAAGAGUCACAGAAUGCAUGAUGCCUAUCUUCAUUAUUUCAGAUACCAGGGCGCAAAUAAAUGUCAUCAUCAGCUUUGACGUAAUAAUCUGCUUCAAAAUGCAGGAAAGCUGCUUUCAAAUAAGCCAACCUAACAAUAGCAAAAAUGAAGAAACCAAAUUACCAAACAAGCCACCGUUUUUUUUUUUGGAUCAAAAUAACAAAGAGAACUUCACCUCUUACGUUUUAUAAGGAAGCUUUAAAUAUUCUUCCUGAACAUCUAUGAGCAUAAAAUCUCUGUACUUAUCAAUCUCUUUCUCAAGCUGUGCCAUCUUCUUUGCAUCUUUCGAUUUCCCAAUUACAAACCGAAAUGCUAUCCCGGUAGCUUGCUCUAAUCUAUAAAAUAUACGACAAAUUAAACCAGCAUGUUCUUUCAGUUAUUAAACCACCCUCCCCCCCCCCCCCCCCCAAAAAAAUCUUUGAUAAAAUAAAUGAAGCAUUUAUACCUUAAGAGUCCAUCCGGGUCAGAAGGGAACCACGUGCUGCGAAGAGCGGCCCGGCGAUCAGCUGAACCGAAGCCGGUUUGAAUUCCGACAGACCCGAGAAGCUUGGGGCGAUCAAGGAGAGCUCCAUUAUCGCGGAGUUUUCGAGAGUCGGAUAGAGAGUAGAAUGCACGGAAAGUGUCUUCGGAUCUACCGCAACGGUAGACGGGUAGGGGACUGGGGCGGCGGACGGCGUUGACGGCAAAGAUUAUGCCAGCGAGGCCGAAGAAGAUGGAGAGGAGUGAAAGGAGGAGAAUGGGCAGGGAUAUUUUAGAAUUAAGCUUAUGAAGCUUUUGAUCUUUGGCUGAGUAGGAUGAGUUUGUGGUGGUGGAGGUGGGAAGAGCUGAGGAGUUGUGGCGGUGGGAGAAGAGUGGCAUUUCGGUGAAUUGUGAGUUGAGACAGGGAAAAUGUUGGGGAAAUGGGAUUGGCGAAAGGAUCUGUCGUUGCUUCUUCUAGCUCUAUACCACUGGUUCGGAAAUGGGAAGUAGAGUUUCUUGGAAGGGACGCUCCUGGGUGAAUAGUGACACCGCGAGGCUGAAGCUCCUCUUUUAAUACCAUUUUCAGUUCUUAAAGACAAU